This 75-nucleotide transfer RNA is filed under the name Deltaproteobacteria bacterium. RNAcentral's name for it is "tRNA-Gln". It matches the Rfam family "tRNA". Rfam says of the family: Transfer RNA (tRNA) molecules are approximately 80 nucleotides in length. Their secondary structure includes four short double-helical elements and three loops (D, anti-codon, and T loops). Lineage: Bacteria; Pseudomonadati; Myxococcota; Myxococcia. The record is from RNAcentral.
UGGGCUAUCGUUCAAUUGGCAGGACACCGGAUUCUGACUCCGCCAAUCUAGGUUCAAGUCCUAGUAGCCCAGCCA